Molecule: ribosomal RNA, 484 nt
Filed under: uncultured bacterium
Lineage: Bacteria
Description: partial 16S ribosomal RNA
Rfam family: Bacterial small subunit ribosomal RNA
Source: RNAcentral
AUUGAACGCUGGCGGCAGGCCUAACACAUGCAAGUCGAGCGGACGAAGGGAGCUUGCUCCUGGAUUCAGCGGCGGACGGGUGAGUAAGUCCUAGGAAUCUGCCUGGUAGUUGGGGAUAACGUCCGGAAACGGGCGCUAAUACCGCAUACGUCCUGAGGGAGAAAGGGAGGGAUCUUCGGACCUCACGCUAUCAGAUGAGCCUAGGUCGGAUUAGCUAGUUGGUUGGGUAAAGGCCUACCAAGGCGACGAUCCGUAACUGGUCUGAGAGGAUGAUCAGCCACACUGGAACUGAGACACGGUCCAGACUCCUACGGGAGGCAGCAGUGGGGAAUCUUGGACAAUGGGCGAAAGCCUGAUCCAGCCAUGCCGCGUGUGUGAAGAAGGUCUUCGGAUUGUAAAGCACUUUUAGUUGGGAGGAAGAGCAGUAAGUUAAUACCUUGCUGUUUUGACGUUACCAAAAGAAUAAGCACCGGCUAACUUCGUG